AGUGAACGCUGGCGGUAGGCCUAACACAUGCAAGUCGAACGGCAGCACAGUAAGAGCUUGCUCUUACGGGUGGCGAGUGGCGGACGGGUGAGGAAUACAUCGGACUCUACUUUUUCGUGGGGGAUAACGUAGGGAAACUUACGCUAAUACCGCAUACGACCUACGGGUGAAAGCAGGGGAUCUUCGGACCUUGCGCGAUUGAAUGAGCCGAUGUCGGAUUAGCUAGUUGGCGGGGUAAAGGCCCACCAAGGCGACGAUCCGUAGCUGGUCUGAGAGGAUGAUCAGCCACACUAGAACUGAGACACGGUCCAGACUCCUACGGGAGGCAGCAGUGGGGAAUAUUGGACAAUGGGCGCAAGCCUGAUCCAGCCAUACCGCGUGGGUGAAGAAGGCCUUCGGGUUGUAAAGCCCUUUUGUUGGGAAAGAAAAGCAGCAGGUUAAUACCCCGCUGUUCUGACGGUACCCAAAGAAUAAGCACCGGCUAACUUCGUG
This 492-nucleotide ribosomal RNA is filed under the name uncultured bacterium. RNAcentral describes it as "partial 16S ribosomal RNA". It matches the Rfam family "Bacterial small subunit ribosomal RNA", at positions 29 to 507 of the family's 1533-position model. The record is from RNAcentral.